CAGAUCUUGUUUUCGUUAGUUGAUUUGUUGAAGUCUGAGAGGUAGGCGACAACAAAGUGCCGCGUAUUAAAUAUAGUUAAGUUCGUUUUCAAAGAGUGAACUGCCGGAGAUCUGAUACGUCGAGGAUUUCGCCGUUAAGGAAUACUUCUGUUGACAUUCUUUAAGAAGAAAUUUGUGCUGAUUAAUCAUUUGUCGAUCAACUUCGGAGUGUCUCGGGCCGUCGCAACUGCUGCUGACGGCCGUAAUUCGCCUGUCAGAGACCCGGGUUAUACACCUAUCAAGUCACCGAACCUUCGCAGAUUAGGU
Molecule: long non-coding RNA, 306 nt
Organism: Schistocerca cancellata (South American locust)
Lineage: Eukaryota; Metazoa; Arthropoda; Insecta; Orthoptera; Acrididae
Exons: 3
Source: RefSeq, a predicted model, not a curated record